GGGCCUCCUCCCUCCCUCCCAUCUCCUCCUUUCCUCAGACGGGCCUUUCCGUCGGUUAACCUUUCUCUUCUCCUCAGGGGGAGGUUUCUAUUUAUAUAUAUGUGUGUGUCAAGAUUUACCCGUGUGUUUCUCUCCCAGCUCGGGUUCCUGCAGCACGGAGGCGGUUUUCCUUCAGCCCGUUUGGUCAGACGUGUGAUCUCUUUGCAGCCAAGGUGCUAUCUCAGACCAGCUGUGGGGGCUGCAGGUACGCAAAGACAGCACCAUGAUUGCAUGCUGCAGCUCUCUGGAGCGCUGCCACACAGACGUGAGGAUCCAGGACUGCCACUUCACUUCGUGUUCACAUCUUCUGAAGCUGCUGAAUACCAGCUGUUGCACAUCUGAAAAACUCCAGUUUUGAGGAUUAGUUUGCAGACAGUUCAGCAGCUGAUAAGCGACCCGUUUCAUUUCUUCCAUGCCCUGUUCUCUGAUAAAACAGAACAGGAACCUGGCAAACUGUAUGUUUGGGGAGGGAGUGGGUGGCAUUAUUGUUAUUUUUAAGCCUGAAGCUUGUUUAGAUUCGAAUGGAUGCUGCCUUGUGGGUAUAAAUAGUCAGGAAAACCCUUUUAGGAGAAUUGCAACCACGCACUGUGCAUUGAGCUGAAGGCCUUACAGAGCACAACUUGCUGUAGUUGUAUAGGAGUGCUUUAGUCGACCUGAACAGAAACCAUCUACUCACUCCUUCCCCAGGGGUUCUGGCAUGCAGACAUCUGAGUAGAGCCUAUGUUUUAUGGCAACAGAAGGAAAGUCAAGCCAGUUUGGCCUGCAUUUGUUUUGUUGUUUGGUUUUUUUUUAAUUGUAACGGAAAAAGGAUCCAGUCUGAGUCUGAAAGCAGAAGUUUUACACUUAGUUACAGCUGAAUAUAGCCACACUUCCUGCUUUCCUCUCUCCCCUCCUCCCUGCCUCCCCUGGGUCUCAUAGCAUAAUCUACUUAUUAAAUAGUUGCAAUAAAAGUACAUUUUGCCCUAGCAGGACCAAAGCCUAUUGGUAGGGAAGAUAUUUUUAUGCCAUCCUUGUCCUGUUCCUGCCAAAAUGAGGGUGUUUUUUGGACUCUUGUCUGCUUUUGGAUUUGUGAUCUGUUCCUUUAAUACAUUCCUUCCAGUCUAGGCAGUGUUCCCCAACUGCCUGGCACUGAUGUUAAUGCCUUGCUUCCUAAUCAAUCAAGUCCACUCCAUGCUUCCUUAAAGGAAAACUUUGCUCAUGUUGUUCAGCCCAGUGACACAAACUUCCACAGGUGUAAGAAAUGUUUGUCACUGGCAAAUGGCACCAAUGUGGGAUGUGAAGGCCAAACUUUAAUCCUGUUUGGCACUUGUGAGCCUCUGGGCAGUUCUUUCCUUAAAAGUGACUAUGGUACAGUGGGCAACCAGCAGAGAUUUAGUAGCUCAGUUUCCAGCUGUCCUAAAUAAUUUGAUUAUAGCAAGAACUUUGAGGAUAUUAACAAGGGGUCAUAUGUGUGUAUGGGGGGGCAGAAUUUGUUUUCACUUUCUCCACUAAUGAAUGCAAACUGCCUAUGCAAAAUGGAUGGGGAAUGUAACUGGAGAAAGAGUGUCUCAAGAUGGAAUCAGUCACUUCUAUCUGUUUUUAUGUUAAGGUUCACUGUCCUUUGUGUUUCUAGAUCUAUAUCUAGAAAACAAUAUAGUGUCAAAUAAGUAAAGAUUGGGGUGAGCAGUGUUACUGCUUUUGGGGGCUUGUGUCCUAUUUGAAGUGCAGUGCAGCAAAAUGGCUGUUCCUAGGGUAAGGUUUAUGUGCCAGCUGGAACUGCUGACUUCCUUUAAAACUCCUGGUUUUGUAAUUAUUCAUGGCAAAAAAAACCUGUUUCUUCCCAUAUGAACUCCUGGCUUACUGAGCUAUGAGGUGAGCCAAGUAGGUUAUUUUCUUCAGUGUCUGCAUUUUUUCCUAAUUACUUUGUGCCAGUUGUUACCACGCAGUUUUCUUUACCUG
Meleagris gallopavo (turkey) is the source of this 1977-nucleotide non-coding RNA. The record is from RefSeq and is a predicted model, not a curated record. Lineage: Eukaryota; Metazoa; Chordata; Aves; Galliformes; Phasianidae.